AAACCAGGCCGCUGCAACUGUUUAUUAAAAACAUAGCACUCUGCAAACACGAAAGUGGACGUAUAGGGUGUGAUGCCUGCCCGGUGCUGGAAGGUUAAUUGAUGGGGUUAGCGUAAGCGAAGCUCUUGAUCGAAGCCCCAGUAAACGGCGGCCGUAACUAUAACGGUCCUAAGGUAGCGAAAUUCCUUGUCGGGUAAGUUCCGACCUGCACGAAUGGCAUAAUGAUGGCGGCGCUGUCUCCAGCAGAGGCUCAGUGAAAUCGAAAUCGCUGUGAAGAUGCAGUGUACCCGCGGCUAGACGGAAAGACCCCGUGAACCUUUACUGCAGCUUGACACUGAACUUUGACCUUACUUGUGUAGGAUAGGUGGGAGGCUUUGAAGCUGGAACGCUAGUUCCAGUGGAGCCGUCCUUGAAAUACCACCCUGGUAAUGUUGAGGUUCUAACUCUGUCCCGUGAUCCGGGACGAGGACCGUGUCUGGUGGGUAGUUUGACUGGGGCGGUCUCCUCCUAAAGAGUAACGGAGGAGUACGAAGGUGCGCUCAGCGUGGUCGGAAAUCACGCGUAGAGUAUAAAGGCAAAAGCGCGCUUAACUGCGAGACCCACAAGUCGAGCAGGUACGAAAGUAGGUCUUAGUGAUCCGGUGGUUCUGUAUGGAAGGGCCAUCGCUCAACGGAUAAAAGGUACUCUGGGGAUAACAGGCUGAUACCGCCCAAGAGUUCAUAUCGACGGCGGUGUUUGGCACCUCGAUGUCGGCUCAUCUCAUCCUGGGGCUGAAGCAGGUCCCAAGGGUAUGGCUGUUCGCCAUUUAAAGAGGUACGCGAGCUGGGUUUAGAACGUCGUGAGACAGUUCGGUCCCUAUCUACCGUGGGCGCUGGAAAUUUGAGAGGAUCUGCUCCUAGUACGAGAGGACCAGAGUGGACGAACCUCUGGUGUACCGGUUGUGACGCCAGUCGCAUCGCCGGGUAGCUAUGUUCGGAAGGGAUAACCGCUGAAAGCAUCUAAGCGGGAAGCCUACCUCAAGAUAAGAUUUCCCUAGGACUUUAUGUCCUCUAAAGAGCCGUUCGAGACUAGGACGUUGAUAGGUUGGAUGUGGAAGCAUAGUGAUAUGUGAAGCUGACCAAUACUAAUUGCUCGUGAGGCUUGACUAU
RNAcentral lists this ribosomal RNA (1148 nucleotides) under Acinetobacter baumannii. RNAcentral's name for it is "partial 23S ribosomal RNA". It matches the Rfam family "Bacterial large subunit ribosomal RNA", at positions 1783 to 2925 of the family's 2925-position model. Lineage: Bacteria; Pseudomonadati; Pseudomonadota; Gammaproteobacteria; Moraxellales; Moraxellaceae. The record is from RNAcentral.